Molecule: ribosomal RNA, 453 nt
Filed under: uncultured Porphyromonadaceae bacterium
Lineage: Bacteria; Pseudomonadati; Bacteroidota; Bacteroidia; Bacteroidales; Porphyromonadaceae
Description: partial 16S ribosomal RNA
Rfam family: Bacterial small subunit ribosomal RNA
Source: RNAcentral
ACGGAAGGCAGCAGUGAGGAAUAUUGGUCAAUGGGCGGAAGCCUGAACCAGCCAAGUCGCGUGAAGGAUGAAGGUAUUAUGUAUUGUAAACUUCUUUAGCAGCAGAGUAAUAAGGGGGUCGUGACCCCCGAUGCAAGUAUGCUGAAAAUAAGGAUCGGCUAACUCCGUGCCAGCAGCCGCGGUAAUACGGAGGAUCCGAGCGUUAUCCGGAUUUAUUGGAUUUAAAGGGUGCGCAGGCGGUUUUUUAAGUCAGUGGUUAAAUCGUGAGGCUCAACCUCAUCACGCCAUUGAUACUGGAAGACUUGAUUGCGGUUGAGGUUGGCGGAAUUCGUCGUGUAGCGGUGAAAUGCAUAGAUAUGACGAAGAACACCGAUUGCGUAGGCAGCUGACCAAGCCGUAAAUGACGCUCAUGCACGAAAGUGCGGGGAUCGAACAGGAUUAGAUACCCUGGUA